This 275-nucleotide ribosomal RNA is filed under the name uncultured bacterium. RNAcentral describes it as "partial 16S ribosomal RNA". The stretch from base 22 to 268 matches the Rfam family "Bacterial small subunit ribosomal RNA", at positions 102 to 347 of the family's 1533-position model. The record is from RNAcentral.
CCCCGGCCGGCGACCGGCGCGACGGGUGAGUAACACGUAUGCAACCUGGCCGCCACAGGGGGAUAACCCGCGGAAACGCGGCCUAAUACCCCGUGACGCCACCGGAGGGCAUCCUCCGGUGGCCAAAGGAGCGAUCCGGUGGCGGAUGGGCAUGCGGCGCAUUAGCUAGACGGCGGGGUGACGGCCCACCGUGGCGACGAUGCGUAGGGGUUCUGAGAGGAAGGCCCCCCACACUGGGACUGAGACACGGCCCAGACUCCUACGGAAGGCAGCAG